ACCUACGGGAGGCAGCAGUAGGGAAUCUUCGGCAAUGGGCGAAAGCUUGACCGAGCAACGCCGCGUGAAUGAAGAAGGCCUUCGGGUUGUAAAAUUCUUUUAUAAGGGAAGAAAGGUGAUAGGAGGAAAUGACUAUCAAUUGACGGUACCUUAUGAGAAAGCAACGGCUAACUACGUGCCAGCAGCCGCGGUAAUACGUAGGGGGCGAGCGUUAUCCGGAUUUAUUGGGCGUAAAGCGCGUGUAGGCGGUUUGUUAAGUAUAAGAUUAAAGCCUGAGGCUCAACCUCAGUUCGUCUUAUAAACUG
This 305-nucleotide ribosomal RNA is filed under the name uncultured bacterium. Its description in RNAcentral is "bacterial SSU rRNA". It matches the Rfam family "Bacterial small subunit ribosomal RNA", at positions 337 to 635 of the family's 1533-position model. The record is from RNAcentral.